RNAcentral lists this ribosomal RNA (428 nucleotides) under uncultured bacterium. Its description in RNAcentral is "bacterial SSU rRNA". It matches the Rfam family "Bacterial small subunit ribosomal RNA", at positions 355 to 775 of the family's 1533-position model. The record is from RNAcentral.
UGGGGAAUAUUGGACAAUGGGGGCAACCCUGAUCCAGCGACGCCGCGUGGGUGAAGAAGGCCUGCGGGUUGUAAAGCCCUUUCGGUGAGGAAGAAAAGUCUCGGCUUAAUACGCUGGGGCCCUGACGUAACUCACUAAAGAAGCACCGGCUAACUCUGUGCCAGCAGCCGCGGUAAUACAGAGGGUGCGAGCGUUAAUCGGAAUUACUGGGCGUAAAGCGCGCGUAGGCGGCUUCGCAAGUCGGGUGUGAAAUCCCCAAGCUCAACUUGGGAACUGCAUUCGAGACUGCGUUGCUAGAGUAUGGGAGAGGGAAGUGGAAUUUCAGGUGUAGCGGUGAAAUGCGUAGAUAUCUGAAGGAACAUCAGUGGCGAAAGCGACUUCCUGGACCAAUACUGACGCUCAUGUGCGAAAGCGUGGGGAGCAAACAG